Molecule: ribosomal RNA, 229 nt
Filed under: uncultured bacterium
Lineage: Bacteria
Description: partial 16S ribosomal RNA
Rfam family: Bacterial small subunit ribosomal RNA
Source: RNAcentral
UGCGUAGGCGGCAUUAUAAGUCAGAGGUGAAAGCUUACAGCUUAACUGUGAAAUUGCCUUUGAAACUGUAAUGCUUGAAUCACGUUGAGGUCAGCGGAAUGUGACAUGUAGCGGUGAAAUGCAUAGAUAUGUCAUAGAACACCAAUUGCGAAGGCAGCUAGCUAGGCGUGUAUUGACGCUGAGGCACGAAAGCGUGGGGAGCGAACAGGAUUAGAUACCCUGGUAGUCC